UACGUAGGGUGCAAGCGUUGUCCGGAAUUAUUGGGCGUAAAGAGCUCGUAGGCGGUCUGUCGCGUCUGCUGUGAAAACUCGGGGCUUAACCCCGGGCCUGCAGUGGGUACGGGCAGACUAGAGUGCGGUAGGGGAGACUGGAAUUCCUGGUGUAGCGGUGAAAUGCGCAGAUAUCAGGAGGAACACCGGUGGCGAAGGCGGGUCUCUGGGCCUUACCUGACGCUGAGGCGCGAAAGCUAGGGGAGCGAACAGG
RNAcentral lists this ribosomal RNA (253 nucleotides) under uncultured bacterium. RNAcentral's name for it is "partial 16S ribosomal RNA". It matches the Rfam family "Bacterial small subunit ribosomal RNA", at positions 524 to 776 of the family's 1533-position model. The record is from RNAcentral.